GAUGAACGCUAGCUACAGGCUUAACACAUGCAAGCCGAGGGGUAACGAGAGGAAAGCUUGCUUUCCUUGUUGACGACCGGCGCACGGGUGAGUAACGCGUAUCCAACCUGCCCCCAACUAGGGAAUAACCUUGCGAAAGUAAGACUAAUACCCUAUAAUUUCCUCAGAUGUCAUCUGACGAGGAAUAAAGAUUUAUCGGUUGUGGAUGGGGAUGCGUCUGAUUAGCUUGUUGGCGGGGUAACGGCCCACCAAGGCAACGAUCAGUAGGGGUUCUGAGAGGAAGGUCCCCCACAUUGGAACUGAGACACGGUCCAAACUCCUACGGGAGGCAGCAGUGAGGAAUAUUGGUCAAUUGGCGGAAGCCUGAACCAGCCAAGUAGCGUGCAGGAUGACGGCCCUAUGGGUUGUAAACUGCUUUUAUACAGGAAUAAAGUUAGCCACGUGUGGUUAUUUGUAGGUACUGUAUGAAUAAGGACCGGCUAAUUCCGUGCCAGCAGCCGCGGUAA
This 506-nucleotide ribosomal RNA is filed under the name uncultured bacterium. RNAcentral's name for it is "partial 16S ribosomal RNA". It matches the Rfam family "Bacterial small subunit ribosomal RNA", at positions 28 to 523 of the family's 1533-position model. The record is from RNAcentral.